RNAcentral lists this ribosomal RNA (887 nucleotides) under uncultured bacterium. Its description in RNAcentral is "bacterial SSU rRNA". It matches the Rfam family "Bacterial small subunit ribosomal RNA", at positions 8 to 853 of the family's 1533-position model. The record is from RNAcentral.
AGAGUUUGAUCAUGGCUCAGGACGAACGCUGGCGGCGUGCGUAAUACAUGCAAGUCGAGCGAGCUUGCCUAGAUGAUUUUAGUGCUUGCACUAAAUGAAACUAGAUACAAGCGAGCGGCGGACGGGUGAGUAACACGUGGGUAACCUGCCCAAGAGACUGGGAUAACACCUGGAAACAGAUGCUAAUACCGGAUAACAACACUAGACGCAUGUCUAGAGUUUGAAAGAUGGUUCUGCUAUCACUCUUGGAUGGACCUGCGGUGCAUUAGCUAGUUGGUAAGGUAACGGCUUACCAAGGCAAUGAUGCAUAGCCGAGUUGAGAGACUGAUCGGCCACAUUGGGACUGAGACACGGCCCAAACUCCUACGGGAGGCAGCAGUAGGGAAUCUUCCACAAUGGACGAAAGUCUGAUGGAGCAACGCCGCGUGAGUGAAGAAGGGUUUCGGCUCGUAAAGCUCUGUUGGUAGUGAAGAAAGAUAGAGGUAGUAACUGGCUCUUUAUUUGACGGUAAUUACUUAGAAAGUCACGGCUAACUACGUGCCAGCAGCCGCGGUAAUACGUAGGUGGCAAGCGUUGUCCGGAUUUAUUGGGCGUAAAGCGAGUGCAGGCGGUUCAAUAAGUCUGAUGUGAAAGCCUUCGGCUCAACCGGAGAAUUGCAUCAGAAACUGUUGAACUUGAGUGCAGAAGAGGAGAGUGGAACUCCAUGUGUAGCGGUGGAAUGCGUAGAUAUAUGGAAGAACACCAGUGGCGAAGGCGGCUCUCUGGUCUGCAACUGACGCUGAGGCUCGAAAGCAUGGGUAGCGAACAGGAUUAGAUACCCUGGUAGUCCAUGCCGUAAACGAUGAGUGCUAAGUGUUGGGAGGUUUCCGCCUCUCAGUGCUGCAGCU